RNAcentral lists this ribosomal RNA (260 nucleotides) under uncultured bacterium. Its description in RNAcentral is "partial 16S ribosomal RNA". It matches the Rfam family "Bacterial small subunit ribosomal RNA", at positions 793 to 1055 of the family's 1533-position model. The record is from RNAcentral.
GUCCACGCUGUAAACGUUGCAUACUCGGUCUUAGCGAUAUACAGUUAGGACCUAAGCGAAAGCAUUAAGUAUGCCACCUGGGGAGUACGGUCGCAAGAUUGAAACUCAAAGGAAUUGACGGGGGCCCGCACAAGCGGAGGAGCAUGUGGUUUAAUUCGAUGAUACGCGAGGAACCUUACCCGGGCUUGAAAGUUAGUGACGAAUGCCGAAAGGUGUUUUUCUAGCAAUAGACACGAAACUAGGUGCUGCAUGGCUGUCGU